GCGCCGUUGGUGUAAGGCGAACAUCGUUGCCCGAAAAGCAGUAGAUGCGGGUUCGAGUCCCGCCUGGUGCA
Heligmosomoides polygyrus is the source of this 71-nucleotide non-coding RNA. The record is from Rfam. Lineage: Eukaryota; Metazoa; Nematoda; Chromadorea; Rhabditida; Heligmosomidae.